GACGAACGCUGGCGGCGUGCUUAACACAUGCAAGUCGAACGGAAAGGCCCUGCUUUUGUGGGGUGCUCGAGUGGCGAACGGGUGAGUAACACGUGAGUAAACUGCCCUUGACUUUGGGAUAACUUCAGGAAACUGGGGCUCAUACCGGAUAGGAGCUCCUGCUGCAUGGUGGGGGUUGGAAAGUUUCGGCGGUUGGGGAUGGACUCGCGGCUUAUCAGCUUGUUGGUGGGGUAGUGGCUUACCAAGGUUUUGACGGGUAGCCGGCCUGAGAGGGGGACCGGCCACAUUGGGACUGAGAUACGGCCCAGACUCCUACGGGAGGCAGCAGUGGGGAAUAUUGCACAAUGGGCGGAAGCCUGAUGCAGCAACGCCGCGUGCGGGAUGACGGCCUUCGGGUUGUAAACCGCUUUCGCCUGUGACGAGGCGUGAGUGACGGUAAUGGGUAAAGAAGCACCGGCUAACUACGUG
Molecule: ribosomal RNA, 468 nt
Filed under: uncultured bacterium
Lineage: Bacteria
Description: partial 16S ribosomal RNA
Rfam family: Bacterial small subunit ribosomal RNA
Source: RNAcentral